GCUGCAGCUGCUUGCUCCUUGCCGAAGCUCCAGGAAGCGCGAAUGCUGGCCCUGAGGUGAGAUUCCUCCUCUGGCCCUCGGGGGCUGCUCUCCUCCUCCCUUUGCAGGCCUGCUCUGCACUCAGCGUUCACCUAGACUCUGGAAGUGUAAGUGAUCCCAAAGGUCAGGGAGUGUCCACUGCCCCUCCAGCUGGAGGCUGCCCUCUACCCGCAGGCCCCACCACCUGGGAGGAGUGGUCCCCGAGGAGGAGGUGCCCUUGCGUCCAGCACUCUGCCCCUGAGAAUGGGCUCCUUCUCAUCCCUGUGAUUCCCUCUGUCACCGCUUGGCUGUAGUUCCGUGUCCUGACCUUACUGAAGAGGAGGCCCGGCAGCCGUGCAGUAGCAAGAGGACAGCGAGCCUUGUUUCUUUGGCCCCAGUCUCCCUUUUCCUCCCAAUCCUCAGGUGGCCUGAUUCCAACAGGCAGACUCCACUGCCCUCCUUGCUCCCUGUCCCCCAGGUAGCUCCAGUUGGGUGGGUCCCUCUCAGUAUGGCCCAGAUCACGUGGUCCAAACUGAGAACUGUACUUAUUUCUGCCUUUGUGUAGUGACGCUCCAAGUCCACAGGAGGAAGCUGCAUCACAAGGCACCUGCAGUCACCCACGAGCUACUUUGCCACCACUGCUUAGGUGUGGUGCCUGCACACAUAGGGUGGCCUGGUUGAGUUGGUACUUUGGGAGUUUCUGUGAACAUCUGGCAACCUCCUCACUUGCAUUCAUAUCACAAGCCAGAAUAGCACCGUCAGUUGGGGGCGGAUCAGUGCUCAUUUCCAUGUUUCCAUCUCCUGAGUCUCAGUAACAUCUUCUUUACUGUCCUCAGUCUCUGAGCAAACAAGCAAUGACCCCCGCGCCAGGCCCUCCACAGCUUGAGGGACGGCAUCCAAACGUCACACUGUGGCUGAGUGACACUGUGUGGUCCAGCUUAUUUGUUUAUGAGAUUCAGGUGUGGGAGAUCUG
Molecule: long non-coding RNA, 991 nt
Filed under: Equus asinus (donkey)
Lineage: Eukaryota; Metazoa; Chordata; Mammalia; Perissodactyla; Equidae
Description: lncRNA (ENSEASG00005036902.1)
Source: RNAcentral